UGCCAGCCGCCGCGGUAAUACGAAGGGUGCUAGCGUUGUUCGGAAUUAUUGGGUUUAAAGGGUGCGUAGGCGGCCCUAUAAGUCAGUGGUGAAAGUCUUCGGCUCAACCGGAGGACUGCCAUUGAAACUGUAGGGCUUGAGUACAGUAGAGGUAGGCGGAAUUUAUGAUGUAGCGGUGAAAUGCAUAGAUAUCAUAAAGAACACCUAUAGCGAAGGCAGCUUACUAUGCUACGAUUGACGCUGAGGCACGAAAGCGUGGGGAGCGAACAGGAUUAGAUA
Molecule: ribosomal RNA, 279 nt
Filed under: uncultured bacterium
Lineage: Bacteria
Description: partial 16S ribosomal RNA
Rfam family: Bacterial small subunit ribosomal RNA
Source: RNAcentral